This 253-nucleotide ribosomal RNA is filed under the name uncultured bacterium. RNAcentral's name for it is "partial 16S ribosomal RNA". It matches the Rfam family "Bacterial small subunit ribosomal RNA", at positions 524 to 776 of the family's 1533-position model. The record is from RNAcentral.
UACAGAGGUCUCAACCGUUGUUCGGAUUCAUUGGGCGUAAAGGGUGCGUAGGCGGUCGUGCAAGUCGGAUGUGAAAUCUCAGGGCUCAACCCUGAAACUGCAUUCGAUACUGCGCGGCUAGAGUGCUGGAGGGGAGACUGGAAUUUACGGUGUAGCAGUGAAAUGCGUAGAUAUCGUAAGGAAGACCAGUGGCGAAGGCGAGUCUCUGGACAGCAACUGACGCCGAGGCACGAAGGCCAGGGGAGCAAACGGG